This 353-nucleotide ribosomal RNA is filed under the name uncultured bacterium. RNAcentral describes it as "bacterial SSU rRNA". It matches the Rfam family "Bacterial small subunit ribosomal RNA", at positions 917 to 1271 of the family's 1533-position model. The record is from RNAcentral.
GGGCCCGCACAAGCGGUGGAGUAUGUGGUUUAAUUCGAUGCAACGCGAAGAACCUUACCAGGGUUUGACAUCCUGCGAAUUUCUGGGAAACCGGAAAGUGCCUUCGGGAGCGCAGUGACAGGUGGUGCAUGGCUGUCGUCAGCUCGUGUCGUGAGAUGUUGGGUUAAGUCCCGCAACGAGCGCAACCCACGUCUUUAGUUGCCAGCAUUUAGUUGGGCACUCUAGAGAGACCGCCGGUGAUAAACCGGAGGAAGGUGUGGAUGACGUCAAGUCAUCAUGCCCCUUACAUCCUGGGCUACACACGUACUACAAUGCUACGGACAAAGGGCAGCAAGUUCGCGAGGACAAGCAAA